This 253-nucleotide ribosomal RNA is filed under the name uncultured bacterium. RNAcentral describes it as "partial 16S ribosomal RNA". It matches the Rfam family "Bacterial small subunit ribosomal RNA", at positions 524 to 776 of the family's 1533-position model. The record is from RNAcentral.
UACGGGGGGGGCAAGCGUUGUUCGGAAUUACUGGGCGUAAAGGGCUCGUAGGUGGCCAACUAAGUCACAUGUGAAAUCCCUCGGCUUAACCGGGGAACUGCGUUUGAUACUGGAUGGCUUGAGUUUGGGAGAGGGAUGCGGAAUUCCAGGUGUAGCGGUGAAAUGCGUAGAUAUCUGGAGGAACACCGGUGGCGAAGGCGGCAUCCUGGACCAAUACUGACGCUGAGGAGCGAAAGCUAGGGGAGCAAACGGG